Molecule: ribosomal RNA, 406 nt
Filed under: uncultured bacterium
Lineage: Bacteria
Description: partial 16S ribosomal RNA
Rfam family: Bacterial small subunit ribosomal RNA
Source: RNAcentral
AUUGAACGCUGGCGGCAGGCCUAACACAUGCAAGUCGAGCGAGCGGCGGACGGGUGAGUAAUGUCUGGGAAACUGCCUGAUGUAGGGGGAUAACUACUGGAAACGGUAGCUAAUACCGCAUACCAUCAGAUGUGCCCAGAUGGGAUGAGCUAGUAGGUGGGGUAAAGGCUCACCUAGGCGACGAGCCCUAGCUGGUCUGAGAGGAUGACCAGCCACACUGGGACUGAGACACGGUCCAGACUCCUACGGGAGGCAGCAGUGGGGAAGAUUGCACAAUGGGCGCAAGCCUGAUGCAGCCAUGCCGCGUGUGUGAAGAAGGCCUUCGGGUUGUAAAGCACUUUCAGCAGGGAGGCGUUACCCGCAGAAGAAGCACCGGCUAACUCCGUGCCAGCAGCCGCGGUAAUAC